Molecule: ribosomal RNA, 247 nt
Filed under: uncultured bacterium
Lineage: Bacteria
Description: partial 16S ribosomal RNA
Rfam family: Bacterial small subunit ribosomal RNA
Source: RNAcentral
AGAUGGCGACCGGCGCACGGGUGAGUAACACGUAUCCAACCUGCCGAUAACUCGGGGAUAGCCUUUCGAAAGAAAGAUUAAUAUCCGAUGGUAUAUUUUCUCCGCAUGGUGAGAAUAUUAAAGAAUUUCGGUUAUCGAUGGGGAUGCGUUCCAUUAGUUUGUUGGCGGGGUAACGGCCCACCAAGACCACGAUGGAUAGGGGUUCUGAGAGGAAGGUCCCCCACAUUGGAACUGAGACACGGUCCAA